This 253-nucleotide ribosomal RNA is filed under the name uncultured bacterium. RNAcentral's name for it is "partial 16S ribosomal RNA". It matches the Rfam family "Bacterial small subunit ribosomal RNA", at positions 524 to 776 of the family's 1533-position model. The record is from RNAcentral.
UACGUAGGGGGCAAGCGUUGUCCGGAAUUAUUGGGCGUAAAGAGCUCGUAGGCGGUUUGUCGCGUCGUCUGUGAAAACCAGCAGCUCAACUGCUGGCUUGCAGGCGAUACGGGCAGACUUGAGUACUGCAGGGGAGACUGGAAUUCCUGGUGUAGCGGUGAAAUGCGCAGAUAUCAGGAGGAACACCGGUGGCGAAGGCGGGUCUCUGGGCAGUAACUGACGCUCAUGCACGAAAGCGUGGGGAGCAAACAGG